Molecule: long non-coding RNA, 619 nt
Filed under: Anas platyrhynchos (mallard)
Lineage: Eukaryota; Metazoa; Chordata; Aves; Anseriformes; Anatidae
Description: lncRNA (ENSAPLG00020010318.1)
Source: RNAcentral
AGGUACUGGAGUGACCACCCAGGACAUCUGCAGCUCUCCAGGAUUUCGGGAGCAUGGAGGUGGGUCACGAAAAUGAUCAUGUCCUGGGGAAAGUGAUGGGAAGAGAAAGGGGUUUAUUCCCUCGCAGUUCCCCCUGGGAAGCCCCAGGAGAGCAGAUUUUUCCAGCCUUGGCAUGCAGUUGGUUUUGCCACCUGGCCAUCACUACUGCUUGCCUGGGGAAUCCCUGUGCCUUCUCUCCAGGUAACAGCCAGGCUCCAGUCCUGUACCUCAACGCUUCCAGUGCCCAGGAGGGGGAAAUAGUGUUGCUUCGAUGUACCAUUGAUGAGCAGUUUCCUGCUACGCGAGUUGUCUUCUGCAAGAAUGGGCUGGAGGAGUUCAGCCUGAAAGCCCAGCAGGGCAGGCUCAUCUACACUAUGGACCUGAACAUCACCUCCAGAAGUGCUGGGACGUACAAGUGUGGGUACCAGCAAAAGAACAAGGAAAACUGGGUGAGGAACUCUGCUCUCAGUGCUCCCCAGACCUUGUCUGUGGCAGGUGCAGGUGCUGGUGAGACCACCACUGAUAUCCAGAGCUCCACAGCUCCACAUGCCCGGAUUCUGCACACCCUCCCCACAGCCAC